RNAcentral lists this ribosomal RNA (260 nucleotides) under uncultured bacterium. RNAcentral describes it as "partial 16S ribosomal RNA". It matches the Rfam family "Bacterial small subunit ribosomal RNA", at positions 30 to 286 of the family's 1533-position model. The record is from RNAcentral.
AUUGAACGCUGGCGGCGUGCUUAACACAUGCAAGUCGAUCGGUAACAGGUGUAGCAAUACAUGCUGACGAGAGGCGGACGGGUGAGUAAUGCUUGGGAAUCUGCCUAUUAGUGGGGGACGAACCCGGGGAAACGUCGGGCUAAUACCGCAUACGCUCUACGGAGGAAAGCCGGGGACCGCAAGGCCUGGCGCUAAUAGAUGAGCCCAAGUCGGAUUAGCUAGUUGGUAGGGUAAAGGCCCACCAAGGCGACGAUCGGUAG